GAUGAACGCUAGCUACAGGCUUAACACAUGCAAGUCGGGGGGAAACGGCAUUGAGUGCUUGCACUCUUUGGACGUCGACCGGCGCACGGGUGAGUAACGCGUAUCCAACCUUCCCAUUACUGUGGGAUAACCUGCCGAAAGGCAGACUAAUACCGCAUAGUCUUCGAUGACGGCAUCAGAUUUGAAGUAAAGAUUUAUCGGUAAUGGAUGGGGAUGCGUCUGAUUAGCUUGUUGGCGGGGUAACGGCCCACCAAGGCUACGAUCAGUAGGGGUUCUGAGAGGAAGGUCCCCCACAUUGGAACUGAGACACGGUCCAAACUCCUACGGGAGGCAGCAGUGAGGAAUAUUGAUCAAUGGACGGAAGUCUGAACCAGCCAAGUAGCGUGCAGGAUGACGGCCCUAUGGGUUGUAAACUGCUUUUGUAUGGGGAUAAAGUUAGGGACGUGUCCCUAUUUGCAGGUACCAUACGAAUAAGGACCGGCUAAUUCCGUG
This 492-nucleotide ribosomal RNA is filed under the name uncultured bacterium. RNAcentral describes it as "partial 16S ribosomal RNA". It matches the Rfam family "Bacterial small subunit ribosomal RNA", at positions 28 to 507 of the family's 1533-position model. The record is from RNAcentral.